UACGUAGGGUCGGAGCGUUGUCCGGAUUUAUGGGGCGUAAAGAGCUCGUAGGCGGUUUCGUGAGUCUGAUGUGAAAACUCAGGGCUCAACCCGGAGACGCCAUCCGAUACUGCGAUGACUGGAGUCUGGUAGGGGAUCACGGAAUACCUGGUGUAGCGGUGAAAUGCGCAGAUAUCAGGUGGAACACCGAUGGCGAAGGCAGUGAUCUGGGCCAGUACUGACGCUGAGGAGCGAAAGCGUGGGGAGCAAACAGG
This 254-nucleotide ribosomal RNA is filed under the name uncultured bacterium. RNAcentral's name for it is "partial 16S ribosomal RNA". It matches the Rfam family "Bacterial small subunit ribosomal RNA", at positions 524 to 776 of the family's 1533-position model. The record is from RNAcentral.